AAAGUUGCAUCAUUUUGGGGCGUGGUUGCGUUGAGUGACAGGUAGGUGCCGUCACAGUUUCCAGCUUCCUGUUCUCCUGCGCCAUGUUGAAAACCUUUAACACUCACUUGUUCUAUCUUAUUUGCUUAGUCUACCUUGUUUAAAGCUUGCUAAUUGUCUCCUGAUAUCCAGUGUGUGUUUUUAGGUGCAAUUCAGAAGUAUUUCAGAGCAGCUACGGUACCAGAGGAGACAACUGGACAAAGUCAAGCAUCAGGAUACAACCACCGUGCUGCUGCUGCUGGAAGAUUACUCCGCUGCAUCGCACCAACAGCCUGACUUCAUAAAAUCUUCCUUCCAGAGUACCACCAGUUCACUAAGCUUGAGAUGAAGAAAGUCCCGGUCCAUCAACUCGACAGCGACGAACUACAUCAGCGUGCCUACCUUGUGAUUGACGGCGUGGCCACCAGGGCGUGGCCACCAGGGCGUGGCUACCAGGGCGUGGCUACCAGGGCAUGACUACCAGGGUAUGGCUACCAGGGAGUGGCUACCAGGGCAUGGCUACCAGGGUAUGGCUACCAGGGAGUGGCUACCAGGGCGUGGCUACCACGAAGUUUGAGAAGGGCAGAAAAGGGGAGAGAAGAAGAAGAAAAGGGGAGGUCGUCUGCAGAGGGGAUUACACAUUGUGA
This 665-nucleotide long non-coding RNA is filed under the name Cottoperca gobio. RNAcentral describes it as "lncRNA (ENSCGOG00000023373.1)". Lineage: Eukaryota; Metazoa; Chordata; Actinopteri; Perciformes; Bovichtidae. The record is from RNAcentral.